CUUGGUCAUUUAGAGGAAGUAAAAAGUCGUAACAAGGUUUCCGUAGGUGAACCUGCGGAAGGAUCAUUAUCGAAAUUAUUGGUGAGGGUUGUAGCUGGCCUUUCGAGGCAUGUGCACGCUCGAGCCCUUAAUCCACUUUACACCUGUGCACUUAAUGUAGGUCGCCCUUAAAAAAGGUGACCUAUGUCUUAUCAUCAACCCAUCGUAUGUCUCAUAGAAUGUAAUCGAUAUCCUCGCCCUAAAAAAGCGCUGAUAAACUUAUACAACUUUCAACAACGGAUCUCUUGGCUCUCGCAUCGAUGAAGAACGCAGCGAAAUGCGACAAGUAAUGUGAAUUGCAGAUUUUCAGUGAAUCAUCGAAUCUUUGAACGCACCUUGCGCUCCUUGGUAUUCCGAGGAGCAUGCCUGUUUGAGUGUCAUUAAAUUCUCAACUCCAAGGGUUUCACGACCUUUCGGAGAUUGGACUUGGAGGUGCUGGCCGCAUAUUGGUCGGCUCCUCUCAAAUGCAUCAGCGGAAUUCAACCUUUGGCUUCCGGAUGUCAGUGUGAUAAUCAUGUUGCGCUGUCGUUUGAUCCCUCAGAGUCCGCUUAUAAUGGUCUUCGGACAAAAUCAUCAUCAAAUUUGACCUCAAAUCAGGUAGGACUACCCGCUGAACUUAAGCAUAUCAAUAAGCGGAGGA
Molecule: ribosomal RNA, 679 nt
Filed under: uncultured fungus
Lineage: Eukaryota; Fungi
Description: eukaryotic LSU rRNA
Rfam family: 5.8S ribosomal RNA (bases 265-419)
Source: RNAcentral